AGGACGAACGCUGGCGGCGUGCUUAACACAUGCAAGUCGAGCGGAAAGGCCCUUCGGGGUACUCGAGCGGCGAACGGGUGAGUAACACGUGAGCAACCUGCCCUUAGCUCCGGGAUAGCUCCGGGAAACCGGAAUUAAUACCGGAUACGACCACAGCCGACAUCUGCUGUGGUGGAAAGGAUUCCGGCUAAGGAUGGGCUCGCGGCCUAUCAGCUAGUUGGUGGAGUAACGGCCCACCAAGGCGACGACGGGUAG
Molecule: ribosomal RNA, 255 nt
Filed under: uncultured bacterium
Lineage: Bacteria
Description: partial small subunit ribosomal RNA
Rfam family: Bacterial small subunit ribosomal RNA
Source: RNAcentral